CAAUGUCAGGAGAGUGGUGCUCACCCACUAGCCGUGCUGCCUGCACUGACAUACAUCAUUUGCUUCUUUGCCAGCGUGCUGCUGCAUGGUAACAUCUGGACUUGUUUCCUGACCCCUCAGCUGCUCAGCUGCUUACAAGUUCCCAGAUCUACUUGUCGAAAACCGUCCUGUGUCAUGCUUGGGCUUUCUUCACCGAACCUGUGAACAUGGGAGAUUGUUUCCCUCCAGUGCCAUUAUGGAUAUGUUUUUCAUCCUGGA
This 258-nucleotide long non-coding RNA is filed under the name Dasypus novemcinctus (nine-banded armadillo). Its description in RNAcentral is "lncRNA (ENSDNOG00000051313.1)". Lineage: Eukaryota; Metazoa; Chordata; Mammalia; Cingulata; Dasypodidae. The record is from RNAcentral.